CACGGGCCCACACCCCGGGAAAAGGGGAAAGGGGAAAAGGUCACAGCAGUAAAGUGGGUUGUUUUGUGAAUCACCUCUAGGAUGACACUCAACCAGAGGUCUAAGUUUUCACAGAGGGUGCAGUACCAGCAGAGCGAACAGUGAGGCUAAUCAAGAGUGCAACCAACCUCACUUCACACACUGAGAGAGCAUUGCAGAAUUACGCACCCAGGGCUAUUUGAUCAGCGUACAAGAGUUCAGGUCAAGUCUCUAUUUUGUUCCCUGAAAUGCCACUGGUCUACUUUUAUUAAAGCAGAGGUCCCUCAGAAAUGAAAUUUCUUGUCAGAAUAGGUGCCAGAAGGUAAUCUGUACUAAGGCUUAAUUGAAAGCUUCUUUGUCCUGGAAAAACAGACUUUAAUGAAAGCAGAAUUUGGAAGCAUGACAUUAGUGUAGACUUUCUUCUGAUGAGCCUUAUCAGAGAUCAUAACCACCAACGAUAACACUACUUCUAGAAGUUUGUAAAAGGCACGUUUAUUACAUUCAUUUUUUUUCGAAAAUAUUGCAUAUGACACAGUGCUGCAUGCAGUUCUGUCUUUGUUUUUUUUUUAUGGAAACAUCAUGUUCAGGGAGCAUCAGUGAGCCUCAGAAGGUUUGCCUUUCUGUAGUAAUUUUCAGAUAGGUACCAUUUUCCUUUUUUUCAGGCGAAGCACUUCAUCUAUCCAAGUUAUGUAGUGGUUUUGCUUUAACAUGAUAUUAUUGCUUUAGCACUA
Numida meleagris (helmeted guineafowl) is the source of this 749-nucleotide long non-coding RNA. RefSeq lists it as uncharacterized. The record is from RefSeq and is a predicted model, not a curated record. NCBI's taxonomy places the organism in Eukaryota, Metazoa, Chordata, Aves, Galliformes, Numididae. The transcript has 3 exons.